CGUAUAAAAUGCUAUCGUCUUCCCCCACUCGCUCCGUCUCUCGCAAUCUCUCACUCUCUCGACUUCGAGGAGGAGCGGCGAAGAAGAGCAAUGGAGGAAGUCACAGAGACGGAGCUCGAAUCACAGCUUAACUCUAUUGUAGAUUUACUAAGUAAGGUCCAAGUUCGUGCUGGUGGGGGGCAUCUUACUAUACUAGAGACCGAGAGGCUUGUUUUGAUACUUUUGAAUAAAAGGAAUGUGGUAACACAUCAAUCGCCAUCAAACGUUUAUGAAGAUUUCAUUUUAUCCCUCUGUUGCAUCUCUACUUUGUAAUAUCUGUUGCUCACCAGGUCCUCUAUUUCAUACUUUUCAUUUCUUACAUCCGCACAUAGAGACAAAUUUCUUAAGCUUCAUGCCACUGCUCACUAGGCCUUGCAGAUUUUUCAGAUUGACGAGCACCUAAGUCAUGUAGCGAUGGGACGAAAGAAGCGCUUGAAAUUUGAAAUAAAUUGUUGACCAUUGAGCUUAUUCAGCAUUUGAUGAGUUCAAUUUUCUUGAUCAGGUUGCUGUUCUUGUGCCUGACACUUGGUGCUGGCUUUUUAAAUUAUCACCUCAAUAUGUUAUCCUUUGGAGAUCUGUUCGCUAUUGCACACUAACAAGAUCUUUGAAAUAGGAAAUUCUGAGUACCUUAAGGAUUUAUUGGACCAUCUGAACGUAGAUAUUGUUGAGAAGGUGUAAUUCUCUGUGUGGAGUGUUACUUGAAGCCUCACAAGGAUCUGUUGCUUCAAUCUUGAUUUUGUUGCUGGCUAACAUUUUCAUGGAUCUGGUUUUUGUCUUUGACUUGGUCUCAAGCGUGAUUGACAUUCAGCUGAACAAGGAUAAAUAUAUGAGGCAUUUGUUGAAGAUGACUUAUGCAAUGAGGCUAUGUUUUCAGUUGAUUGCUUUUCUCCUUAUUGAUACUCAUGAUUGAUCCAACAGUUUUUGUUUUUAACCAGAAAAGGGGAUAAAGUGGAUCUAUAAUAGAUAUCAAAAGUAAUAAGUACUAAUAGGCGAACUUUGAACAAAAUUAAAUUAACUAAUUAACAUAUCAUCUUUCGAUUAGCUUUGGUGUCAUACAGAAAGCAUAAAACUAUCCAUGUGCACUUUGUUAACUUGCGCAAAUAUAAAAGCUCCCUGCCAAUCUAUAUUUAAGUCAUGAAUUUUCAAAUUUAACUUUUAAGUACAUUUAUCAGAUCAUAUUACCAAUUCAGGUGUCAACAUGGUAAAUAUGCCUUUGGCUAUCUAGCAGUUAACCAAUAGUUAUAGGUUUAUAACUGGAAAAUUGUGUGGAGAAUGAGAUGCUAGAUCCCUUUGCACAGGUGUGGGCUUGUCCAUUUGAUGCUAGACCCUUCUUUCUAGUUUUUGAGAAAGAUAUUUUUGGCAAGUUUAGGUUCAAUACAUAUGCCUUUGGAUCAACAUUUAAUAAAACUAUUAUAACUUCAAUACUGUAUUAAUUUUGGUAGUGGUUGUAGGCUUUAGCUGUGGAAAUUGAACUCUACCCCAGAAUAUAUGCUACAAAAUUAAAUAAUAUCUAAGACUUCGUUGUUCUCCUAUCAGUUGGAUGAUUUGUGAAAAUAAUAUAUAAGGAAUUGCUAGAUCUUCUAGAUCAGGUUGUCCAUAUCAUUGUAAAUUAAAUAGUAUCAAAUUGAAUUUUUCUGGUACAAGUUCCCUGAUAGAUGUGGCUGUCUGUUUUUCUUAGGUGUCAUCUGUUGAAAAUGCAUGCAAUCCUUUGUUACAUGGAAAUAGAAAAGCCUCCUGUAUUGUUUGUGUCCACCGGAUAGGUACAUAUAUUCUCUAUUUCCUUCCCUCCCUAUGGACCAUCUUAUUGUUAUUUUUUCAUAUGAGCAUCAUAUCUCUAAAUAUGUGCUAUUUGUUUUUUUGGAUUUUAUUUAUUUAGUCAUGAAUCUGCAGUUAAAACAAAAACAGAAACUUAACAAGUGAUUCUGUCAUGUAAAUUCUAUUUCCUGCUGAUUAAAGGACUUCAAAUACACAUCAAAAGUCAAAUCGGACAAUGGCUACUAAUUAAAUUGGGGGUGUUAAUCUACUGAUUGAAUGUUUUUUGUGUUACGAGUGAAUCUAUUGGUCAGUGUGAUAACAAAGCCUAUUGUUAUCAUUUUUUUAUUGGUUAUUUAUAGCCAACAAUGUGGCAGGUAGAAUUUGAACCCAUGACCACCAACAGUAAACUAGAUUCAACAUAGACUGUUUAUUGACAUGGAUGCUACAUAAAAAAAAGGUGAUAUGCGUAAAAUUGUAACUAAAGCUAUACAUCUUGCGAAAGAGUAUGAAAUAAAUGUAUGCCGGUAUAUUAUUUCGUAUAGCUACUAAAUUAUAUGAAUGGUUUUUCAUUGUUGGUGUAUCAUUUUCUCACGCAGAACAUUGGCUCAUAACCGCUUUAUUUGCAUUCAAUAAUAUAUUCAUCUUGGUGCAGAGAUGAUUGUAUACUUUUCCUCCAUAAAUUGCUUCUAACUUUGUUUUCUAGGAAUCUUGAUGCAAAUAUUUGACUAAGAAAUUGAUGAUUCUACUUUGGUAAAAUUUCAAGGUAUUGAAUUUGCGGUAUGUAACUAUAUGCUAUUUAUUCAUCGCACAAGAAGAAACAACUUGUUUAAACUGUUUUUAGAAGAUGGGGUACUAUAAAAAAAAAACCAAAGAAUUAGACAACCUUCUUGGCAAUAUUUAUCAUGAAAUUCUUGGUAUUUUCUACCCAUUACUUUUGGAUCGUCCUUGAAAUUCCUUAAUGCUUUAAUUUUUUAAAAAUUAAAUUGGAAAGAGAAUUUUAAUUGAUCUGACUAAAUUAAUACAAAAAAAAAUGUAUUUCCUAAUAAUUAAUAUUUAUUAAUUUUAAUCAUUUUUAAAUUAUUUUUUAAAAUUCAUCUAUUCAAUAAUAGACAUUUUUGGUAAGGUAAUUGGCCAUAAAUCAAGAGCAUCCUAGUGCGUCCAAAUUUAUUUUUCUUCUACAUGGCUUUUUUUGUUCUUUUACUUUUGCUUCAGUUUUGAUUUGAAUUCUUUUCACCUCCACGGUUGCUAGCACGUUACCGUAGUGUGAAAAGAACUUGAUGGAUUAAUUGUGAUUCUUGACAAUAAAAUUGUUUAUUCAGUUUGUGUAUUGUUAACUGAGUUUUUUUUUAAUCUUUCCACGUCAAAAUUCCUCUUGUUGAGAAGACCAGGACUAGGAAUUCUUAGACAAAGAAAUUGGGCCUACUUUUGCAGAUCAAAAUAUUAAAUUACCAAACUAGCUGACAUUUAACUUCAGAAAAGAUAGUUUUAAUGUUUAGAGUCUUUAGACUACUUCUAAAACUCAACCAUGUCAAAUAAUAGUAUCAGACCUUGUUCGCACUUCAUUGAUGCUGUCAUUCUCUUUGCGGAUAAAAUUUAAUAUUUCUGUUGUGUUUCAUAAAUGGUUUCAGGUGGCUUUGAUUGUUUUUGUCUUAUAUUGGAAGCUUUGUACUGGCAGAUAGAUGACCGAUAUAUUAACUAUGCAAAUUUUAUAAAACAUUCUUAAACAUAUUUUCUUGAUGUCAUUUAUUAAUCCCAUUAUUUGAUAUUAUUCUGGAUAUUUUGUCCAAUAAGAAGCAAGUUCAGGAAUGCAGAACAGUCAGCAUUCAUGAUUGAUCUUCAUCAAAUAGGGAUGCUGUUUCAGUAAAAAUCAAAUUGCACCCGUCUUUUAGUGCUGUUAAUGUUUAUCACCUAAAUAUUGAUGGUAGACUUUACAUGCAUGCAACAUCACCUUCAUGUUUGUUGGAUGAACUUGGGAAGGGCACUCUUACAGAAGUUCAGUUGUUUUAAUAGUGCCACAUCUAUGUCAUUUACUUAUCAAUUUCAAUCAUAAAACGUCUUAAGUAGCUCUAAUAUUUCUAACAUUAAUUACAGAUAGAUGGCAAUGAGCUGCUGGGUGGAGUUAUUAAUCAUUUUGUUAGCUGUAAAUAUCCUUCAAAGGUUUGAUGGAGUCUUACUUCCUCAUUGCCCUCAAUGUGCUAUUAUUGUAUUGGUUACAAAUUACUCACAUAAUGUGUUCCUCACCUUGUAAUCUAUGUUAAUCAUAAUAACUGUGGCUUUCAUGAUAAUCUCCUCAUCCCUUUUAAGCAGUUGGCAUUAAAAUUUUUGAGCAAGCACUCUAUACUAUUCUAAAACAAACAGAGAUAAUGUUCUUUCACUAUGGCGACCACUCUGUCUGAGAUGCUCUAGAUCUGCAUUUGAGAUAUCUAUUUGUAGAUUGAAAACUAGGUUAAUAAAUUUCUUAAAACCAAUUUUGUUAGUUAUGGACCAAUUUAUCUACUAUUUUUUUUUGGGUGCAUUGUUACUGAUGUCAGAUUUUCCAUUUAUUGAAAGUAUUUAGAUGUAAAUAUGGAAAUAACUACUAGAUUAAACUGUAUUGAAGUAUUAAAAACCGAACUUCAUGUGCUAGUUAUUAUGUUUGUAGUAACUUAUUGGCAAUAGCAGUGGAUAUUGAUCAUGCAUAUAUUGUUCUCAUCCAUUCGAUGACAAUGCCUGUUGUAAUGAAAUUGAGUUGAGUUGGAGACACGAAUAAAUUUAGGUGAUUUUGAAUUUUGGGCUUGGACCCUAGGGCUUUAAGAAAUUAUCUGGCAGUGUUUUCUGCGCAAUUGGAUAGGUAGUUGAAUGCUGGCAUAUUGUUUAUCUGGCUAUCCAGUAUUUCUUCUUCAUGAUUUCACAUAUGCCAUGCCAUCAUAGCAUUUUCAUAAAAAUUAAUGGAAAAACUCAUUCAGUUGUAUAUGAAAAUCUUGUCAAAACUUAACUUUGCGAUGUUUGCUAGUUUAACAUUUGGCAAUUGUCAUGAUGUAUUAAACAUGUUUUGGAUGUAGUUGUCAUUAAAAUCAGUAAUCUCCUUUCAUGAGUAUGAUCUCUUUGAGUUUCCUCUAUUUCAUUCUCUUGAGUCCCUCAACGCUUAUUGCUGAUCACAGUCAUUACUACCAGGCAGCAUGACUGCAAUGAUCAUUUGCCUGAUGAUUUCUGCUAUUUUGAAAAAUCCAUCUUCUUGUUUUCUUUGUUAUGGUUAAUUUGCAUUCUAUCUCUAUUCAAAAGCUUGCGCCUGGGCACUCACUUCUGAGCUAUGGUGAGCAUAUUAAUAUACAAGUACAUAAUUUGCCCCUUAUAUUUCUAAAGUGAUAUUAUUUUUCUUCUUUUACAGGAUUGCGUUGUGCACGACUUGCUGGUACUGUAAAGUGCAUGCUUUGUUGUAUAUCUCAUGGAUCAAAUUGAAGUCUUCUUCCGAUUCUCAAAGAAACUUCGACACCACUGACAAUUAGUAAGUCAUUAUCUCCAAUUUUGAUGACAAAGAAAGAAUUGGGCAUGUGAUCCUCUGUUUUUUCAGGGCCAGUCUGCUUUGAAAUAACUCUCACCACUUCAUUGAAGUCAUUUACUUGCUCAUCAAAUGGAAUGCAAUAACCCUGAUAAAGAAUAUUUAGGAUAAUGUUCUCAUCACAUUAAUAUUGUCAUACAUUUAAAGUUACUAACUUUAUAUGUCCAAUUAAGGAUUCCAGCACCACCAGAUGCAAAGUUGACACCUUUGAGAAGUUCGUCAUCUAUGUCUGCCUUGUUGAUGAAACUAAGAUAUGGUUUUGGUGAUGGUAAUCCAAGUUUCUCAGCUAAAAAAGAAAUUAUACAUGUUAGAAUAUAAUUUUGUAAAUAUACAGCAUUGCUAUUAUAUGACCAUCUACAAAUUUAGUUCUUUUGGAAUUUCAAUGAAUGAGAGAAAUAAGUGAAGUUUGUGAGAUACCGAGAAAGUCAGCCGCAUUCUUGCCAUUGCUAAACCGGCUGGUGGCCUUGUAAGUCAGUAAAGUCGAUACCGUAGGCGAAGUAAUUGGCCUUGGCUCUAUGGAAAUUGAAGUUGUUGUUGCCUACAUCAAUUAUGGAUGCUCUAAGAAGAUACAUGUCUUGAUCUGGUGCUUGUCCAAAGCCACAAAUAAUGCACAACAUCAGGCACAUCACAAGAUAUGGCCAGGUUGUUCCUGAUUUUACAUGGAGAUUUCAUCCAUGCCCCUUCAACGUCUUUCGGUCUGCAGACGAGUUCCCAUCUCACCGCGUGC
Molecule: long non-coding RNA, 6059 nt
Organism: Dioscorea cayenensis subsp. rotundata (Guinea yam)
Lineage: Eukaryota; Viridiplantae; Streptophyta; Magnoliopsida; Dioscoreales; Dioscoreaceae
Exons: 6
Source: RefSeq, a predicted model, not a curated record